GUGGCUGUGGCUUAGUGAUAGAGCGCUCAUCUAGCAUGCGGGAGGCUCUGGGUUUGAUCCUCAGCACCACA
RNAcentral lists this transfer RNA (71 nucleotides) under Ictidomys tridecemlineatus (thirteen-lined ground squirrel). RNAcentral's name for it is "Spermophilus tridecemlineatus (thirteen-lined ground squirrel) tRNA". It matches the Rfam family "tRNA". Rfam says of the family: Transfer RNA (tRNA) molecules are approximately 80 nucleotides in length. Their secondary structure includes four short double-helical elements and three loops (D, anti-codon, and T loops). The record is from Rfam by way of RNAcentral. Lineage: Eukaryota; Metazoa; Chordata; Mammalia; Rodentia; Sciuridae.